RNAcentral lists this ribosomal RNA (424 nucleotides) under uncultured Methanomethylophilus sp. Its description in RNAcentral is "bacterial SSU rRNA". It matches the Rfam family "Archaeal small subunit ribosomal RNA", at positions 322 to 747 of the family's 1478-position model. The record is from RNAcentral. Lineage: Archaea; Methanobacteriati; Thermoplasmatota; Thermoplasmata; Methanomassiliicoccales; Methanomethylophilaceae.
CCUACGGGGUGCAGCAGGCGCGAAAACUUCACAAUGGGGGCAACCCCGAUGAGGGAAUUCCUAGUGCUAGCACAUUUGUGUUAGCUUUUCUUUAGCUUAGAAAACUAGAGGAAUAAGGGCUGGGUAAGACGGGUGCCAGCCGCCGCGGUAAUACCUGCAGCCCAAGUGGUGGUCGAUUUUAUUGAGUCUAAAACGUUCGUAGCCGGUUCGGUAAAUCUUUGGGUAAAUCGGGGGGCUUAACCUCCCGACUUCCGAGGAGACUGCCGAACUUGGGACCGGGAGAGGCUAGAGGUACUUCUGGGGUAGGGGUAAAAUCCUGUAAUCCUAGAAGGACCACCGGUGGCGAAGGCGUCUAGCUAGAACGGAUCCGACGGUGAGGGACGAAGCCCUGGGUCGCAAACGGGAUUAGAUACCCACGUAGUCC